GGGCCCGCACAAGCGGUGGAGCAUGUGGUUUAAUUCGAUGAUACGCGAGGAACCUUACCAGGGCUUAAAUGCAGAACGACAGAGGUGGAAACACCUCCUUCUUCGGACGGUCUGCAAGGUGCUGCAUGGUUGUCGUCAGCUCGUGCUGUGAAGUGUCGGGUUAAGUCCCAUAACGAGCGCAACCCCUAUUUCUAGUUGCCAGCGGUUCGGCCGGGGACUCUAGAGAAACUGCCAGCGUAAGCUGUGAGGAAGGUGGGGAUGAGUCAAUCAAUCACGCCGCUUACGUCCUGGGCUACACACGUGCUACAAUGGUAGGGACAGAGAGUUGCCAACCCGCGAGGGUGAGCU
Molecule: ribosomal RNA, 348 nt
Filed under: uncultured bacterium
Lineage: Bacteria
Description: bacterial SSU rRNA
Rfam family: Bacterial small subunit ribosomal RNA
Source: RNAcentral